This 224-nucleotide ribosomal RNA is filed under the name Escherichia coli. Its description in RNAcentral is "partial 16S ribosomal RNA". It matches the Rfam family "Bacterial small subunit ribosomal RNA", at positions 1 to 223 of the family's 1533-position model. RNAcentral also lists the same sequence under 1 other name. The record is from RNAcentral. Lineage: Bacteria; Pseudomonadati; Pseudomonadota; Gammaproteobacteria; Enterobacterales; Enterobacteriaceae.
AAAUUGAAGAGUUUGAUCAUGGCUCAGAUUGAACGCUGGCGGCAGGCCUAACACAUGCAAGUCGAGCGGUAGCACAGAGAGCUUGCUCUCGGGUGACGAGCGGCGGACGGGUGAGUAAUGUCUGGGAAACUGCCUGAUGGAGGGGGAUAACUACUGGAAACGGUAGCUAAUACCGCAUAACGUCGCAAGACCAAAGUGGGGGACCUUCGGGCCUCAUGCCAUCA